CUCGGGCCGGCGGGUCCGGGGCCACAGGCUGGGAGUGGAGCUGGCGGCCACUGGGGAGUAGAGAGGACGCCCAGGAACAGGCUGCCUAGAUCACACGGCCCCGUUUCAUUCAUUUUUACUUAAUAACGGUCGUUGGACAAUUUAGAGAAGCAGCAGAAACCACGAGAAAAACAGUGGAGUCAAACGGCGGCGCUGUUGUAGGAGCAAGGGAUACAAUGAUGAUCAAGGCAGAUGCAGCCCUUACCUUCAGGUCGUGGAGUCCGGAUACAGACUGGAGGCAGGCAGCUGUAAGAUGUGUGACAAAUGCUGCGCUGGAUCAGCCCAUGGUAUUAGGAGAGCAGCUGAGUGCCACGUGCUGACGUCACUAAGAUCAAUACAGCAAACUCUGAAAGAUGGACAGAGA
RNAcentral lists this long non-coding RNA (403 nucleotides) under Homo sapiens (human). Its description in RNAcentral is "non-protein coding LINC01961:11". Lineage: Eukaryota; Metazoa; Chordata; Mammalia; Primates; Hominidae. The record is from RNAcentral.